GGAGUGAACGCUGGCGGCGUGCUUAACACAUGCAAGUACGAACGGAAAGGACCCGAACGCUUGUCUUGGGUACGUCGAGUGGCGAACGGGUGGAGUAACGACGUGGGUGGAUCUGCCCCGCACUUCGGGAUAAGCCUGGGAAACUGGGUCUAAUACCGGAUAGGACAGUGGUUUGGAUGCCAUUGUGGAAAGUUUUUUCGGUGUGGGAUGAGCUCGCGGCCUAUCAGCUUGUUGGUGGGGUAAUGGCCUACCAAGGCGUCGACGGGUAGCCGGCCUGAGAGGGUGUACGGCCACAUUGGGACUGAGGUACGGCCCAGACUCCUACGGGAGGCAGCAGUGGGGAAUAUUGCACAAUGGGCGCAAGCCUGAUGCAGCGACGCCGCGUGGGGGAUGACGGCCUUCGGGUUGUAAACUCCUUUCGCUAGGGACGAAGCGCAAGUGACGGUACCUAGAGAAGAAGCACCGGCUAACUACGUG
This 477-nucleotide ribosomal RNA is filed under the name uncultured Corynebacterium sp. RNAcentral's name for it is "bacterial SSU rRNA". It matches the Rfam family "Bacterial small subunit ribosomal RNA", at positions 27 to 507 of the family's 1533-position model. Lineage: Bacteria; Bacillati; Actinomycetota; Actinomycetes; Mycobacteriales; Corynebacteriaceae. The record is from RNAcentral.